RNAcentral lists this ribosomal RNA (759 nucleotides) under Bacillus sp. 'Bacillus M12'. RNAcentral's name for it is "bacterial SSU rRNA". It matches the Rfam family "Bacterial small subunit ribosomal RNA", at positions 35 to 777 of the family's 1533-position model. Lineage: Bacteria; Bacillati; Bacillota; Bacilli; Caryophanales; Bacillaceae. The record is from RNAcentral.
GCUGCGCGGCGUGCCUAUACAUGCAUCUCGAGCGGACAGAUGGGAGCUUGCUCCCUGAUGUUAGCGGCGGACGGGUGAGUAACACGUGGGUAACCUGCCUGUAAGACUGGGAUAACUCCGGGAAACCGGGGCUAAUACCGGAUGGUUGUUUGAACCGCAUGGUUCAGACAUAAAAGGUGGCUUCGGCUACCACUUACAGAUGGACCCGCGGCGCAUUAGCUAGUUGGUGAGGUAACGGCUCACCAAGGCAACGAUGCGUAGCCGACCUGAGAGGGUGAUCGGCCACACUGGGACUGAGACACGGCCCAGACUCCUACGGGAGGCAGCAGUAGGGAAUCUUCCGCAAUGGACGAAAGUCUGACGGAGCAACGCCGCGUGAGUGAUGAAGGUUUUCGGAUCGUAAAGCUCUGUUGUUAGGGAAGAACAAGUGCCGUUCAAAUAGGGCGGCACCUUGACGGUACCUAACCAGAAAGCCACGGCUAACUACGUGCCAGCAGCCGCGGUAAUACGUAGGUGGCAAGCGUUGUCCGGAAUUAUUGGGCGUAAAGGGCUCGCAGGCGGUUUCUUAAGUCUGAUGUGAAAGCCCCCGGCUCAACCGGGGAGGGUCAUUGGAAACUGGGGAACUUGAGUGCAGAAGAGGAGAGUGGAAUUCCACGUGUAGCGGUGAAAUGCGUAGAGAUGUGGAGGAACACCAGUGGCGAAAGCGACUCUCUGGUCUGUAACUGACGCUGAGGAGCGAAAGCGUGGGGAGCGACAGGA